Long non-coding RNA from Oxyura jamaicensis (ruddy duck), 1219 nucleotides. RefSeq lists it as uncharacterized. Lineage: Eukaryota; Metazoa; Chordata; Aves; Anseriformes; Anatidae. The record is from RefSeq and is a predicted model, not a curated record. The transcript has 3 exons.
UUUACAAAGCUCCACUUUAAAAGGAGGGAGGGAAAAAAACACUAAGAAACAAGUUAUUCUAAUCUACCCGUCAAGUUACUUAAUCAUGGUGUAUGAAAGUUGAAUGGUACCUCUUUCCUUUAUCACAGUAUCUUACAGUACCUGAGUUCUUGACAUGAGAGGUAAAGGUUGUGUUCAUUGUGGCGUGUAAAGGCUUGUGUGAUGUAACUUCUUAGCAAGCUUGUGUGUUAUAUUUAAACCUACUGAAAAUUUGAUGUUUAGCAACUCAGAAGAGAAAAGCACCUUCAGGGGGCCAGCACAGUGGCACUGGAGCUUGUAUUAGAGUGGAUGUUACGUGUCAGGCACUGCACCAUUAAUGAAGAUAGCAGAGGAUAUAUGGAGUGUAGGAAGGCUAUGGGAGCAAAAGGGAAUAUUCGUAGUGUGGUUGGUCAAACUAAGAGAGAAUGUAUUGGUAUUCUCUAAGCUUCUCUUGGUAUUCUCUAAGCUUCUGGAUCCCUUCUAUCACAGAUUUUCUAUUAUUUGUAGUUUGCAGCAGCAUUUUGAGACUAUGGUAAUCGGGCCUCCCGGUAGUAAGGUGCAGUACAGAAACAAACAAGAAACAAAAUUAAGGCAGUGCGCAAGCACAGUAAGCCUACAACCUGCCUAGAUGAAGAAGCACUAGAUCAGAGAAGGCACCUGUAGCUGCAUAUCCAUUCCUAACAGAAACAGUACUUGACAAUUCUCAUGUGCUCUUCUGCAGAACAAGUGAAAAAGAGUCAUAAUGACUUACCCCAGCUUAGGGUGAUUUGAACGAGAGAGGAUCUGACGAGCUUCAUUGGUGUAGUGCUUACUAAAAUACCUUGAUUAGCUAGAAAAGGAAGAAUGCUCAGUCACCUCGCUACCUAGAAUGGAAAAGUUCCAUUCAAGACGUGCAGAUCUGAGGGCUUAAAGCAUUAACUACAGUUUCUAACUGCUACGGAACAAUCAGCGGGAGUGUGUUAGUUAGAAGUCUCCCUGCAAAUAUGCAUUACAUUUUUUUCCCCCAAUGAAUUGAGAUGCUAUUGUAUAUACUCCAUAUAAUUGCUUUAUCUGUAUCAUUCACCUGUAUUGCAUUUCUGGUUUCUACAGAGCCAGCAAGGGAGACUGCUGUGACAGGGAGCACUGACUCUCUCCAAGAACAGAAGCUCAGUACCCUGACUUGUCUGACUCACUGCUACAGAGCAGGUAAAACUUUCAGAGG